AUUGAACGCUGGCGGCAGGCCUUACACAUGCAAGUCGAACGAGUGGCGGACGGGUGAGUAAUGUCUGGGAAAGUGCCCGAUGGAGGGGGAUAACUACUGGAAACGGUAGCUAAUACCGCAUACCAUCGGAUGUGCCCAGAUGGGAUUAGCUAGUAGGUGGGGUAACGGCUCACCUAGGCGACGAUCCCUAGCUGGUUGGAGAGGAUGACCAGCCACACUGGAACUGCGACACGGUCCAGACUCCUACGGGAGGCAGCAGUGGGGAAUUGUGGACAAUGGGCGCAAGCCUGAUGCAGCCAUGCCGCGUGUAUGAAGAAGGCCUUAGGGUUGUAAAGUACUUUCAGCGAGGAGGCGUUACUCGCAGAAGAAGCACCGGCUAACUCCGUGCCAGCAGCCGCGGUAAUAC
Molecule: ribosomal RNA, 406 nt
Filed under: uncultured bacterium
Lineage: Bacteria
Description: partial 16S ribosomal RNA
Rfam family: Bacterial small subunit ribosomal RNA
Source: RNAcentral